RNAcentral lists this ribosomal RNA (497 nucleotides) under uncultured bacterium. RNAcentral describes it as "partial 16S ribosomal RNA". It matches the Rfam family "Bacterial small subunit ribosomal RNA", at positions 28 to 507 of the family's 1533-position model. The record is from RNAcentral.
GAUGAACGCUGGCGGCGUGCCUAAUACAUGCAAGUCGAGCGAACGGACGAGGCUCUUGCUUCUCUGUUGUUUGCGGCGGACGGGUGAGUCACACGUGUAUAACCUCCCUAUCAUACUGGUAUAUCUUCGGGAAUCCGGCUCUUAUACCGGAUAAUCUUUUGCUCCGCAUGGUUCAAUGGUGAAAGACGGUCUUUCUGUCACUUAUCGCUGGAUCCGCGCUUCAUUAGAUAGUUGGUAAGGUAACGGCUUACCAAGGCAACGAUGCAUAGCCGAACUGAGAGGGUGAUAGGCCACACGGGAACGGAGACAGGGACAAGACGACUACGAGACGGAGCAGUAGGGAAUCGUACGCAAUGGGCGAAAGCAUGGCGGAGCAACGCCGAGUGAGAGAUGAAGGUCUUCGGAGCGUAAAACUGUGUUAUUAGGGAUGAACAGAUGUGGAAGGAACUGUGCACAGAGUGACGGUACCGAAUCAGAAAGCCACGGCUAACUACGUG